RNAcentral lists this long non-coding RNA (240 nucleotides) under Scleropages formosus (Asian bonytongue). RNAcentral describes it as "lncRNA (ENSSFOG00015032443.1)". The record is from RNAcentral. Lineage: Eukaryota; Metazoa; Chordata; Actinopteri; Osteoglossiformes; Osteoglossidae.
AUAAACCGUUACUGAGACUAAAGAUAAGACUCCUGGGAGAGUGGUGUGUCAGCUGCAGGCUCUCAUCUCCUUGGUGCUGAACAAAAAACGUGACACUUCCACAAGCGUGUGGAUCGCAGGUGGUUCCUGGGCAUCAGUGGGAACUGCACCGUGGGUCGGCGUGGGAUCACAUGGGACCAGAUAAUCAUCUUGAGGCGACACGUUGAGAAAAGACAAGACAUGCAGAAGAGGUGUGAUCGA